GGGCUCUUUUUUCAUUAUGAAAUCUUGUUGAGCGCUUCCAGUCUAUGAGAGCUAACUAGUUAGCCACUAGCAAAACACUAAGGCGAGCUAGCAGCUUGACAAGCAAAUACCAGACGAUUAAUAGUAGCUGUAGUAUAGUUGUACAAGCAGUAGUAGUAAUACUAAAAGUACAAGCAGCAGUAGUGUAAAAUAGCUGUUAGAGUCAUAGAAGUAGUAUCAGCAUUUGUAAUAAUAUUACAAUUUGUAGUAGCAGUGCCAGUAUCAGCAGCAGUAUUUACUGUACCACCACUAGUACUAGUAGUAGUCACAUUGCUAUUACUACCACCAAUACUACCAAUAGUAUUUAUAAAGCCUAACUCAUAUAUAUCCAGAUUACCAUUUAUGUUCUUCCUCCAAACCCAUUUUAUGAUUGGGAUUACAGGCAGUUCUUUAGGACUGCUCUCAAAUAAUUGAAAUGUUACUAAACAAGGUUAUACUUAUCAAAUUAAAUAGCUCUGGUCUCCAGUAUAUUGGCGAAUUCGGUUCUUUGUACUUAAUUUAUUGGCAUGAUUUUUUUUUUAAAAUAUGUUGUGUACAGACACUUACUUCUCUGUCUACUUUUCUUACUCCAUGUAGGUUUCCCAGAGACUAUGGGUUGAGGAGGAAUUGGAAGUUUGUCGGCUUAGACCUGGUGUCAUUCCAUCAGUGUUAAACUUCCCGGCUCAUCUUGGAAGAGUACGUGCCAGAAAGACCACGACCAAGCAGCCUUGAGAUCUUAGACAGCGUCUCCCUGAGGUCCCUCUCUAUCUCCCUACACAUCCACCAACCACUGGAACACAUCUCCAAAGUUCUGCCGGGCCAGCUCAGCUUCCCCUCAGAAGAAGUGCAACCACCUGCCAGAUGAAGGAGCGUUUUGAGAGGCAGCUGGCAUCGUGAUUGGACUGUACUUUGGUCUGUUCCAAUCCAGCUUCAGCUCCAGAGACGGCAGGCGGGACGAGUCAACGGAGGCCUGGUGGACGAAGACAUGCAGCUGAGUACAAUCCAGAAAACAACAGAGGAGGAGUGCAGGGCCAGAACAAGCAGAGUAGCAUCACCAAAGAACUACAGACUCUUCACAACCUGCUCAAACUCUUGGUACAGGACCUCACCACACGGGUCAAGAAGGUUUCCGUCUCAUUUCUACUCUGAAGCUCACCUUCUCCUGCUCAAACUGCUGACAAAUGUUUCUGCUGCUCUAAAGUCUGGUCUCCAGAACUUUCUAAAAACUCUCAAAGUCUCUUCUGCUGCAGGUUGCUUUGUAGAACUGUUGCAGAAAACCUCACUAAACCACAUGGAGGAGCCUCAAGAUAGUCGUCCAAAUGAAACCAUACAAAAACCAAACUAGCACAACCCAAACGCUAAAGUCUCCUGCAGCCUACCAGAGAACCUCUGAGAACAGAGAAUCAGGACAGGAACUCUUACCUUCUGGACAACCAACGCUGGUUCACAAACAAGAACACAGAAUGUGUCUGACCAAAAACCUCUAAAGACUCACUACAGCCAAGAUAAAGUCACAACUCAGCUGCACCAAAUCCACUAAUCACUGCACACAUUAGCACCAUGUGCUAACUGUGGCUAAAGAACCACAUGUACCAAGACAACUAUCCAGUACAAAGCCCUAAAACACACCAAGAAACACAUUAAAGUCUAUUUUACUGCUGGAAGCUGCAAGCCAAUGCCUAAAGAACAAACUAAAGCAAUGGAGCCAAACAGUGGUGAAGAGAAGCAGAGGAAAUGUUUGUCUGCAGCUAAAUAAAGCAGGAAGAGACUGAGCUGCUCAGGUGUUCCUGAUAACACCAAGCAGCUGCUCAGGUGUUCCUGAUAACACCAAGCAGCCACCUGGACAGCCAAUAGGAACACAGCUUACUGGAAGUCCAGAGGGCUGAGUUAGUGAAGGAAAUUUAGUUUAAAGUUGAAGCAGAAAGUUACAGAAAGUUGAAAACCACCUUCUGAUACCUGAAAUCUCUGAGUUUUCACACAAAGAACACCUGAACAUGUCAAACUGGUUCCAUAGUAGAACCAUCAUUGUAAAAACGUCAUAGUGUGGUGUGUUGCUCAAAAAACAUUAGGACCCGGCUGUUAGGGGACAAACAUGUAAGAAACAUGAGAACAGAGAGAACCCAACCAGUAGGUCACAGUUUAUCAUCCCCCAGUCAUCUCCUGAAGUCCAUAUGGUGAGAGACAUCAGUAUCUGGUUGUUAAUUUACCAGAGGAUGCUUAUAAUCAUGCUGAUGUGGUCUGUACUCUACAGUAUUUUAGUGACUCAAUAAAUGCCUAAGUUGUUUUUUUAAAAUGCUUUUUAGUUUUUAAUAAAUAUUUAAUAGCCUAUAUGUGAUCAAUAAAUGGCCUUUGCCUAUCUUAAGAAAAACUCAGAACUCUAUGUAAACAGUACUAAAUAAAUCAAUAAAUACAUGCAUACACACAAAAAUAAGUUAAUACAUUAACUGUGUUAAGAUAAGAUUUAGAUUUUUUAAAAAGUUGUUUAUGUUUUUGCAGAAUCCAGUAUUGCUCACUGGUUGAUCAUUACAUUUUGUUAGUUUGAUUUCACUGUUUAAAAUGAUGCCACCUCUUUUCAGACAGAACCUGUGAUAAUAAAACAAUACAAAAUUUUUAGUUCCGUGUUAAUAAAGCACUUAAAGCUUUAAGUAUGGCUAAAUGCUUUUUUUCAGAAUUAAAUAUAUCACUCCUUAGGUGGUAGUGGCCCCAAGUUCAGUAAAGUUGGAAAGAUAUUCACAGAUUCGGACUUCCAGCAUCAAUAACUCAUUAGAUAUAGGUUGUCAAAACAUAAACGGUGCCUCUUUCCCAUUGUUGCAAGGCAGACAAUGUGCUACAAGCCCAGUUUUAUCAAAAGUAGCUGUCUUUCAAGCUACAGGAAUAACAUUGGUGUCUAUGGAGUGAACAGGGUCCGUCUGCAAUUUGCAAAACCGCUGCAACAGUAAAGAGAGACAAAUAUUCAAUAACUUCACUCUUAUACAUUGUAGUGUCACUAAAAUCACUGCAGCCUUCAACUGGCUCCUGUUGACAAAGUGUUUUAACAAAUGUAAAUGCUGUAAUUUGAUUCUUUUAAUGAACCAUGUAACUUGAAUGGAUGCGAUGCUGGUGUGACCACAGUGCACACGUCUGAUGUUGCUCACAGUGGUCCAAGGAACGCUCAGGGAGUUUGUGUGUUUGCUCAGACUCAGGAAAAAUUAGAGGGAACAUUGGUUGGUACUGUCAAAAGAAUUUUAAAUACAACGACUGAAGUUUUGUUUCAAUUAUCGUACUUUAAUAUGUGUCCAUAAAUGUGUCCAAAUCAAGAUAAUAAUGCACAUUUCUGUCUUUAUAUAGAAAUUCACCUAGAUUUUGUCGUUAUCUUAUAUGCAAAAUGUAAAACUAUGACUAAACUUUUGAGGAUAGUUGCACUAGAAAAGAAGAAAAAGUUGGGUAAAAAUGAAACUUUGGAAGACUCCACAGCAAGUUACUUGCCAUGCACUGUAUAAUGCAUUACGGUCUCUUAUCCUGUGGAGCAGUAAGAUAGAUGAUCGCUACAGAGGCCCCUGACAAUGGCUAUAGUGUUCUGUAAUUCCUCUUGGUAUCUACAGUAGUCUACACAAUCAUAUUUGCCUUAUUCGAAACCUCCCUCAGACAAAAAACAGAAGGCCGACCUCUCUUGGCUCUCCUGUCAGAUGCCCAAACAGAGGCCACUUUGUUUUGGUAAGUUUUUGUUGUUAUUUCCCGUCUCAGAAUAUUCGACGAUCAUACAAACUGGGAAAUGACGAGGCCAUAAAUUUCUUUAAGGUUUCAAAUUGAUCGGAGUCUAAAACUCCACUGUUUUCUUGACUACUUCGUUGUUGUGUGGCUUUUUUUUUCCAGGUUUAAAAUGGUUAGAAUGGUUAAAUCUAAAAAAAUGAGUUUUGAAGCCAUCUUCCCUGUUCAAAUAAUGGGAUGUCCUUGCAAACGUAAUGCAUGUAAACACUUGGCCUAGACAGCAUUGACAUGCAGAGUACUGGUAAUAAUCAUAUUAAUGUAAUAAUAGAAAUUUUUAUUAUUCAGCAAAUUGGAUUUGCAUAAAAUUAUUGCAUUCUAAUGUAUGCAUUUAUGAGAUAAACUGCAAAAAAGAAAACAAAAGCAAAAGCAUUUGUUAUGUAUGGCCCUCGGGCUGAUCUAAUAGUGCAGCUCUGCAAAAAUAGUUUUAUUUUCCUGAACAGAUUCAUUCAUUUAUUCAUUAAAAUGUGUUCACUGUUGCCAAACAAACUUGCAAGGGGAGCCUAAAAAGCGACGCAGGGAGGAAAUAGGAGAUGAGACGAGCCUGGCUUUUUUGAAUAUGAGGGAUAACAAGAAAAGUUGCACUCCAAACUGCAAAAAAAAAAAUCCUCUGAUCUGACAUGUUGAUCACACAAUCCUCUCUGCAAGAGACCUGGGGCUCAUGUUUUUGGCUCAAGGCUUAUUUGGUUUAUUAGUGAAUGUGGGGGUGGCAUAGCACAAAAUGGCUUACCUCAAAGCAGGCCUGCACAAUAGUUAUGACAAGGUAUGCAUACCUCAAGCUCUAAUUGGACAGGCACACAAAAUUUCAUGCAAAUCCGUCCAAAGAAGGCACUGAGCAGUUACAAGCUAAUCCGAGGAUGAAUGUGUUUAAUACAUUUGAUAUGUGUCUUUAUUAGGCUACUCUGAAAUAUUUCACUUUAUUUUUUUGACAUUUAAGUGUGAAAUCCUGAGCUUUGGACAGCAGAAAACAUGUUUUUACUCAUAAAAUUACUGGUUGUGAGCAAGUACUUCGCAGCCUCUCAAUAGAUAUUAGAAAAUCUGACCACGUUGUUGUAAUUUUGUCACAACCCUAAUUAUAGUUGCAAUUAUAGAAUAAAAACAUACUGUGUAAAACAAUUAAAAGCAAUAUAAAAUUCUACCUUCCAUCGCUAGAAACAGAUAUUUCACUAAAAAAAGAAGUCACGGUCAGUAAAUUUGAUAGACAGCAAUAUGGAAGAGCAUUUCUUAGGGGGCAUACUGGGCUACAAGAGACAUGUUUUACUGAGACUUUGAUGUUUCUUUGAUGAAUGUAUGGUAAUCUGGUACUAAACAGCCAUUAGACAAUUUUAAAUGUAAAUGCAAUUUUAAACAGCUUACAUGGGGAAAGUUAGUCAGAUAUAUGCAGAAGAAAGACAUACGGCAAUAUAUACUCAUUCAUUAGUUUAGUGUGUAUAAUAUUUGAUGAUGUGCCUUUUUAUGGACAAUGUGUUGCAUUUCCCAUAAGUUUAUUUGAUUUCUGUUGUGCUAUUGUGUUCAUCGACAAGAUGAGACACUUUGAAACGAAUGAAAGAUGUAUGUUAUGAAUUUUAUGUGUUUUUUAUUUUUGCAGUUUUUUCUGAGUUGCUGAAGAGAGAGAAGGAUAAAAUAAAUAUUCAAAAACAUUUGU
Amphiprion ocellaris (clown anemonefish) is the source of this 5407-nucleotide long non-coding RNA. RefSeq lists it as uncharacterized. The record is from RefSeq and is a predicted model, not a curated record. The transcript is spliced from 3 exons. Lineage: Eukaryota; Metazoa; Chordata; Actinopteri; Pomacentridae.